Molecule: ribosomal RNA, 497 nt
Filed under: uncultured bacterium
Lineage: Bacteria
Description: partial 16S ribosomal RNA
Rfam family: Bacterial small subunit ribosomal RNA
Source: RNAcentral
GAUGAACGCUGGCGGCGUGCCUAAUACAUGCAAGUCGAGCGAACGGACGAGAAGCUUGCUUCUCUGAUGUUAGCGGCGGACGGGUGAGUAACACGUGGAUAACCUACCUAUAAGACUGGGAUAACUUCGGGACACCGAAGCUAAUACCGGAUGAUAUUUUGAACCGCAUGGUUCAGAAGUGAAAGACGGUCUUGCUGUCACUUAUCGAUGGAUCCGCGCUGCAUUAGCUAGUUGGUAAGGUAACGGCUUACCAAGGCAACGAUGCGUAGCCGACCUGAGAGAGGGGUAGGCGACACGAGAGCUGAGACACGGUCCAGAGUCCUACGAGAGGCAGCAGUAGGGAAUGUUCCGCAGUGGGCGAAAGCCUGACGGAGCAACGCCGCGUGAGUGAUGGAGGUCUUCGGAUCGUAAAACUCUGUUAUUAGGGAAGAACAUAUGUGUAAGUAACUGUGCACAUCUUGACGGUACCUAAUCAGGAAGCCACGGCUAACUACGUG